Sphaeramia orbicularis (orbiculate cardinalfish) is the source of this 1109-nucleotide long non-coding RNA. RefSeq lists it as uncharacterized. The record is from RefSeq and is a predicted model, not a curated record. Lineage: Eukaryota; Metazoa; Chordata; Actinopteri; Kurtiformes; Apogonidae. The transcript is spliced from 2 exons.
UCAAACCCCUAAUAUCACUGUACCAAAAGUUUUCAAUAGCAUCGAUGGAACAAACCGCAAGGUCCUGGCAGUAACGCUCCCUCAGCUUGGCACGUCCAUGCGGCUGCAUCUGGCUCGGCAUCGGAGGGUGGUUCAGGUUCUCCUGGUCCGGCUCCGCGCCUUCGUCUUCCCAGGAUGCUUGUCGGCCGUGAUGCUGCGCCAGAUGCAGACGACUCCCCCCUCCUCCUCGGUAGGGCUCGGGCUCUUCGUAGGGGUCGGUUUCAAUGUCCAUGCAGGAGUCGCCGGCCUCGGUGUAGGCAGAGUCCCGGCUGCCCUGGGUCUCCGAGUCAAAGGUGUCCUGCCGUGACAGACCCCGGCCGCUCCCCCCUCGUAGCUGCCCGCGAGAUGAGCGCAGGUAUGACUGCUGCUGCUGCUGAGGCUUCCCUACCAGGUCGCUCUGGUAGUCGUGCAGAGUGCUGCUCCCUCCACAUUCUGUCAGGGGCCCUUCAUGCUUCUGCUCGCCGUGCACUAGGUACGGCCCCUGCAGCGAGUCACGGCCAUGCACCACAGCAAACAUGCAGAGACACAAACAGCAACAGCAGUUAGUGCAGGGUUAGCAUCAGUCAGUGCACACAAAACAGACUUCAAUCAACACUGACACAAUAAGAAUCCCCUCAAGGAGAUUGUGCAACAUCUCAUAGACGCACAACAUACAGGAAACAGGUGUUAUCAGUCAAGGGUAGUGAGACAUGGAAUAACAUUCCAGCUGCAGGAAGAGAAUGUACUACCUUCAAUGCAUUCAAACCCCUUUUCAAACAACGGCUUAAGAAGAACCAGAUCUGUGUUGAUAAAUGAUAAAUGUUAUGCCAAUAUGUGUAAUAUUUAAUGUUGUAUGUUAUUAUAUUCUCUUGAGAUCCUGCAAUGCAUUUUCGUCCUCUGUAGGGGAAAGAGUUUCAGAGCUAUACUUGUGUUGUUUUUCUUCUGUUAUUGUUGUUUCUUCUGACCAGCCAGGGACUACAGAUGUAAAGUAGCAUUUUGGCUAAUUCUGGCAUUGAUAUGUUCAUCAAUAUGUAAUGUCCCCUUUUAAAUAAAUAAAAAAUAAACCAGUGGUGUAGUGCAGCCUAGAACAA